Molecule: long non-coding RNA, 1050 nt
Filed under: Sinocyclocheilus grahami
Lineage: Eukaryota; Metazoa; Chordata; Actinopteri; Cypriniformes; Cyprinidae
Description: lncRNA (ENSSGRG00000024279.1)
Source: RNAcentral
UGCGUGAGAAGAGAAAUAUAGACAUGAAAUGAAAGAGAUGUAUAAUGCCUGAGAGGUGGAUUAGUUUGAGAGGGUGUUCCUCAUCCAAUGCUUGGGGGGGUGGGGGGGGUUGUAAAAAUGCUAAACACCACAGCCUAUAAGUACGCACACCUCUGAUGCACACACAGUGCCUGACUGACAUCAAACACGAAAACAUGAACUUCAUGAAGGGAGCAGAUGGGCAGGUGGACAAGAUUAUCGAUCAGGCUGCUGAGGUGGCCAAAGAGAAAGUUGGAGGAAUAAUCGGAGGAGACAAGAAAAAGGCAGGAGGUGCAAAAAGCCAGAAAGAGGGUGGAGGUAAUCUUUUAGUUUCCUUUGAUAGGAGACUUUGGAAAGAUACGAAAUUCUUCCACUAUCAUAUUCAUCCAGUUUGAAACUCUCUGAUCAAUACAUUCUGUCUGUAGGUGUUGGAGAUAUGUUGAGCGGCGCAAUCGGCAAAGCUGCUACAGACGCUGCAGCAAAAAGUGCCGCUGAUCAGGCUAUGGACAUUGGGAAGAGCCUGUUCAAGUGAGCCUGCUUACUUUGAACAUGAUCACACUUUCUCCCUCAUCACUGGAUUCUAAUUGGACCACACAAUCUUGCAGUUUUAAAACUUUAUAUGGCAGCACUGAAUGUUUCUCCAGAGGCUGUACGUUUUAUGUCGUCUUGAAAGAGGCAAUGCCUAUAUUUCUGUACCUUUUGAGAUUUUUAAAUUUAGAAAAUCAUUUCCGAAUGCAUUUCUAUUAUAAUUAUUAUUUAAACAAAACCAAUAAAAUUGAUGCUUAACAUGGAAAUAAAGAAAUAAAGAGCUGUUGCUCAGUGAGAGAUUGAGUUAUCUUACAAGUCAAAGUUGUUGUUUUUUUGGCUAAUGUUUGAAAUGAUUUCUGUGAUCUUGUCAAACAUGAUGUCAUGUUUUAAGAUAAGACAAACCGGCUUAUAACACAAAACAUCACAGAAUUAAUAAAAUUCAUUACUAAUACUUACUGGUGUUUGUGCUGUUGUUAUCCGACCAAAAUGGUGUCACUUCUGAGG